This 252-nucleotide ribosomal RNA is filed under the name uncultured bacterium. RNAcentral describes it as "partial 16S ribosomal RNA". It matches the Rfam family "Bacterial small subunit ribosomal RNA", at positions 524 to 776 of the family's 1533-position model. The record is from RNAcentral.
UACGGGGGGGCAAGCGUUGUUCGGAAUUCCUGGGCGUAAAGGGCUCGUAGGCGGCCCACUAAGUCAGACGUGAAAUCCCUCGGCUUAACCGGGGAACUGCGUCUGAUACUGGAUGGCUAGAGGUUGGGAGAGGGAUGCGGAAUUCCAGGUGUAGCGGUGAAAUGCGUAGAUAUCUGGAGGAACACCGGUGGCGAAGGCGGCAUCCUGGACCAAUUCUGACGCUGAGGAGCGAAAGCCAGGGGAGCAAACGGG